RNAcentral lists this microRNA (22 nucleotides) under Zea mays. RNAcentral's name for it is "zma-miR2275c-3p". The record is from miRBase by way of RNAcentral. Lineage: Eukaryota; Viridiplantae; Streptophyta; Magnoliopsida; Poales; Poaceae.
UUCAGUUUCCUCUAAUAUCUCA